This 497-nucleotide ribosomal RNA is filed under the name uncultured bacterium. RNAcentral's name for it is "partial 16S ribosomal RNA". It matches the Rfam family "Bacterial small subunit ribosomal RNA", at positions 28 to 507 of the family's 1533-position model. The record is from RNAcentral.
GAUGAACGCUGGCGGCGUGCCUAAUACAUGCAAGUCGAGCGAACAGACGCGGAGCUUGCUCCGCUGACGUUAGCGGCGGACGGGUGAGUAACACGUGGAUAACCUACCUAUAAGACUGGGAUAACUUCGGGAAACCGGAGCUAAUCCCGGAUAAUAUAUUGAACCGCAUGGUUCAAUAGUGAAAGACGGUUGUGCUGUCACUUAUAGCUGGAUCCUGGCGGCAUUGGCUGGUUGGUAGGGUAACGGCUUACCAAGGCGACGAUGCGUAGCCGAACUGAGAGGGGGGUCGGCGACACUAGAGGUGGAACGCGGACAAGGGUACUACGGGAGGGACCAGUAGCGUAUGGGACGCAGUGGGCGAGAGCAUGACAGAACGACGCCAAGUGUGAGGUGGAAGUGUUGGGUGCGGAAUGCUGGCUUAUGGGGUAAAAACAACUGUGUCCGGAGAUGAGCAGGGAUUGACGGUACCGAAUCAGGAAGCAACGGCUAACUACGUG